AGUGAACGCUGGCGGUAGGCCUAACACAUGCAAGUCGAACGGCAGCACAGUAAGAGCUUGCUCUUACGGGUGGCGAGUGGCGGACGGGUGAGGAAUACAUCGGAAUCUACUUUUUCGUGGGGGAUAACGUAGGGAAACUUACGCUAAUACAGCAUACGACCUACGGGUGAAAGCAGGGGAUCUUCGGACCUUGCGCGAUUGAAUGAGCCGAUGUCGGAUUAGCUAGUUGGCGGGGUAAAGGCCCACCAAGGCGACGAUCCGUAGCUGGUCUGAGAGGAUGAACAGCCACACUGGGACUGAGACACGGUCCAGACUCCUACGGGAGGCAGCAGUGGGGAAUUUUGGACAAUGGGCGAAAGCCUGAUCCAGCCAUGCCGCGUGGGUGAAGAAGGCCUUCGGGUUGUAAAGCCCUUUUGGUGGGAAAGAAAAGCAGCAGGUUAAUACCCCGCUGUUCUGACGGUACCCAAAGAAUAAGCACCGGCUAACUUCGUG
RNAcentral lists this ribosomal RNA (492 nucleotides) under uncultured bacterium. RNAcentral's name for it is "partial 16S ribosomal RNA". It matches the Rfam family "Bacterial small subunit ribosomal RNA", at positions 29 to 507 of the family's 1533-position model. The record is from RNAcentral.